AAGUAUAGUGUCUCAUACUUCGUAUUUGUGCUUUGCAUUUCACCCAAUCCAAGUGCACACACACAGCAGUGAGUAGUGAACACACACACCAUGAACACA
Sinocyclocheilus anshuiensis is the source of this 99-nucleotide long non-coding RNA. RefSeq lists it as uncharacterized. The record is from RefSeq and is a predicted model, not a curated record. The transcript has 4 exons. NCBI's taxonomy places the organism in Eukaryota, Metazoa, Chordata, Actinopteri, Cypriniformes, Cyprinidae.